This 1448-nucleotide long non-coding RNA is filed under the name Bos mutus (wild yak). RNAcentral describes it as "lncRNA (ENSBMUG00000009905.1)". The record is from RNAcentral. Lineage: Eukaryota; Metazoa; Chordata; Mammalia; Artiodactyla; Bovidae.
GAGCAUAGGAAGAGGGAGCUAAUUACGUGAUUUUAUAAUCUUGCUACAAAGAAAGUAGGACAAUCUCAGCCUUUAAAAUGUCACUGUAACAGUUUUUUAAAAGGAUAUUUUAAACAAGCAAGUAGACAACUGGGUAAGCAUUGAGUUUGCUCAUGUUGCCGAAUGUGCGUCUUUUGCCCUAAAUGAAAUGUGCGUUCUUCUAAAUUUAGCCCUAACUAUCGCAUUUUAACAAUUGUGGCCUCACAGCGCUAUUUCUGGUGUUUUCUCCAGGGCUGUGUGCAAAUACAAGUUCAAGGCCAUUUGCUGUAGUUUUAACUCCACGCCUUCCGAGAGACCUUUGAUAAGAUUGUAUUUUUAGGAAGGCAUUUCGCAGAGCCCGGUGAUUUGCUGGAUGCUGACUCCCAUUUAUCUUUUUAAAGGACACUUUAGGAAAGUGCUGUUCCCUGAGAACAGCAGGGGAUGACCGAGUGUCAUCUUUUGGUCUUGGCUUUUGUAAAUAACAGCGAAUGAGGCCACAGUAUUAUUUCACAUUUUUUUUUUCGUCCAGACCAGAUAUGAUUUAUGGGAAACAGAUAUAGUUUGAAGGAAAUUCUUGACAGGAUUGCAGAACCUCAUACUUCCCAAGUCAUUGGGUUAAUGUUCGGGGGAACUGUUUAAAGGAACAGAGAGAGGUGAGUUGAUGGUAGCGUUAAUUGUGUAAAAAGGGCCAAACAGCUGUCUUUUUCCAGUUCCCUUGACUUGUUUUGAUGGUUUUCCUGGGCCUGGAUAAUCUCUGGGUCUAAAAUUCCAGUCAGAGAUCACAGGCUGGUUCGACCUCACAGAUGAGCUAUCCUGGGAGGCACUGUGUGCAUCCUUUAUGGUUAAAACCCUAGGAUAUGCCCCAUGAAACUGUCAGUGGUUGACCUAUUAAUGUAGAAUUAAAUUUCAUUUGGUUUAUCCUUGUAACAUAGAACAAUGCUUCACUAAGAAUUACAAGAGGCAAAAAUUAGGCCUGGAACUAAUCAUAAUUGUUGCCUUGAUGCUGCUUAUUCUUCAGAAGAGAUGAUGAGCUAGUACUUACUAAAAUGGACCCUGCCUGUGCCAGGCACUGUGUUGACUCUUCUAUUAUCAUCCCCAUUUUAGACUUAAGAAAGUGGACCUUAGGAGAAAUUGAUUAGCAGUCCAGGCCAGGAACCUGAAAAAUGGGUUUGUGGGGGAGGGGGGCUCUGUCUCUGUCUCUUCCCUGAGUAUGAAUGCAAGCUCACUGGAGUUUUUGAAACAAUUUCCUUUUCUGUGUUAAAGACUUAUCUUUGCUAAGUGCAAUUAUAACAUCACUAUGAUGCAACAACCUGAAAAUUAAAACCCUUUGUUUGGGCCCUUUCCCAUGUUGAGCAAUGUGCUUGACUCACCAGCUGAGUGGAUAUUUCUAGUUGACCUUGCUUUGGUCCAUAGAGUCAGUUCCGAGACGU